GAUGAACGCUGGCGGCGUGCUUAACACAUGCCAGUCGAACGAGAAGUGAAGACGGAAACCUUCGGGCGGAAGGCUUUAUUUCGAGUGGCGGACGGGUGAGUAACGCGUGGGUAACCUGCCUCAUACAGGGGGAUAACAGUUGGAAACGACUGUUAAUACCGCAUAAGACCACAGCACCGCAUGGUGCGGGGGUAAAAACUCCGGUGGUAUGAGAUGGACCCGCGUUCGAUUAGCCAGUUGGCGGGGUAACGGCCCACCAAAGCGACGAUCGAUAGCCGAUCUGAGAGGAUGACCGGCCACAUUGGGACUGAGACACGGCCCAAACUCCUACGGGAGGCAGCAGUGGGGAAUAUUGCACAAUGGGGGAAACCCUGAUGCAGCGACGCCGCGUGAGUGAAGAAGUAUUUCGGUAUGUAAAGCUCUAUCAGCAGGGAAGAAAAUGACGGUACCGGAGUAAGAAGCCCCGGCUAACUA
RNAcentral lists this ribosomal RNA (474 nucleotides) under uncultured bacterium. RNAcentral describes it as "partial 16S ribosomal RNA". It matches the Rfam family "Bacterial small subunit ribosomal RNA", at positions 28 to 503 of the family's 1533-position model. The record is from RNAcentral.